RNAcentral lists this ribosomal RNA (699 nucleotides) under Leucobacter iarius. RNAcentral describes it as "bacterial SSU rRNA". It matches the Rfam family "Bacterial small subunit ribosomal RNA", at positions 80 to 792 of the family's 1533-position model. The record is from RNAcentral. Lineage: Bacteria; Bacillati; Actinomycetota; Actinomycetes; Micrococcales; Microbacteriaceae.
GCACUGGGUGGAUGAGUGGCGAACGGGAGAGUAACACGUGAGUAACCUGCCCCGAACUCUGGGAUAAGCGCUGGAAACGGCGUCUAAUACUGGAUAUGUCCCAUCACCGCAUGGUGUGUGGGUGGAAAGAUUUAUCGGUUCGGGAUGGACUCGCGGCCUAUCAGCUUGAUGGUGAGGUAAUGGCUCACCAUGGCGACGACGGGUAGCCGGCCUGAGAGGGUGACCGGCCACACUGGGACUGAGACACGGCCCAGACUCCUACGGGAGGCAGCAGUGGGGAAUAUUGCACAAUGGGCGCAAGCCUGAUGCAGCAACGCCGCGUGAGGGAUGACGGCCUUCGGGUUGUAAACCUCUUUUGUCAGGGAAGAAGCGCAAGUGACGGUACCUGGAGAAAAAGCACCGGCUAACUACGUGCCAGCAGCCGCGGUAAUACGUAGGGUGCAAGCGUUGUCCGGAAUUAUUGGGCGUAAAGAGCUCGUAGGCGGCUUGUCGCGUCUGCUGUGAAAACCCGAGGCUCAACCUCGGGCCUGCAGUGGGUACGGGCAGGCUAGAGUGCGGUAGGGGAGAUUGGAAUUCCUGGUGUAGCGGUGGAAUGCGCAGAUAUCAGGAGGAACACCGAUGGCGAAGGCAGAUCUCUGGGCCGUAACUGACGCUGAGGAGCGAAAGCAUGGGGAGCGAACAGGAUUAGAUACCCUGGUA